RNAcentral lists this ribosomal RNA (419 nucleotides) under uncultured Bacillota bacterium. Its description in RNAcentral is "bacterial SSU rRNA". It matches the Rfam family "Bacterial small subunit ribosomal RNA", at positions 8 to 429 of the family's 1533-position model. The record is from RNAcentral. Lineage: Bacteria; Bacillati; Bacillota.
AGAGUUUGAUCCUGGCUCAGGACGAACGCUGGCGGCGUGCCUAACACAUGCAAGUCGAGCGAUGAAACCCUUCGGGGUGGAUUAGCGGCGGACGGGUGAGUAACACGUGGGUAACCUGCCUCAAAGAGGGGGAUAGCCUCCCGAAAGGGAGAUUAAUACCGCAUAACAUUAGUUUUUCGCAUGAAGACUAAUUAAAGGAGCAAUCCGCUUUGAGAUGGACCCGCGGCGCAUUAGCUAGUUGGUGAGGUAACGGCUCACCAAGGCGACGAUGCGUAGCCGACCUGAGAGGGUGAUCGGCCACAUUGGAACUGAGACACGGUCCAGACUCCUACGGGAGGCAGCAGUGGGGAAUAUUGCACAAUGGGCGAAAGCCUGAUGCAGCAACGCCGCGUGAGUGAUGAAGGCCUUCGGGUUGUAAG